Molecule: microRNA, 21 nt
Filed under: Rattus norvegicus (Norway rat)
Lineage: Eukaryota; Metazoa; Chordata; Mammalia; Rodentia; Muridae
Description: rno-miR-3084b-5p
Source: miRBase by way of RNAcentral
GUUGAAGGUUAAUUAGCAGAG